AAUUCGAUUAGAGUUUGAUCCUGGCUCAGAUUGAACGCUGGCGGCAUGCCUUACACAUGCAAGUCGAACGGUAACAGAUCUUCGGAUGCUGACGAGUGGCGAACGGGUGAGUAAUACAUCGGAACGUACCCAGUAGUGGGGGAUAACUACUCGAAAGAGUGGCUAAUACCGCAUGAGAUCUACGGAUGAAAGCAGGGGAUCGCAAGACCUUGUGCUACUAGAGCGGCCGAUGGCAGAUUAGGUAGUUGGUGGGAUAAAAGCUUACCAAGCCGACGAUCUGUAGCUGGUCUGAGAGGACGAUCAGCCACACUGGGACUGAGACACGGCCCAGACUCCUACGGGAGGCAGCAGUGGGGAAUUUUGGACAAUGGGCGCAAGCCUGAUCCAGCAAUGCCGCGUGCAGGAUGAAGGCCUUCGGGUUGUAAACUGCUUUUGUACGGAACGAAAAGCCCUGGGUUAAUACCCUGGGGUCAUGACGGUACCGUAAGAAUAAGCACCGGCUAACUACGUGCCAGCAGCCGCGGUAAUACGUAGGGUGCGAGCGUUAAUCGGAAUUACUGGGCGUAAAGCGUGCGCAGGCGGUUUUGUAAGACAGAGGUGAAAUCCCCGGGCUCAACCUGGGAACUGCCUUUGUGACUGCAAGGCUAGAGUACGGCAGAGGGGGAUGGAAUUCCGCGUGUAGCAGUGAAAUGCGUAGAUAUGCGGAGGAACACCGAUGGCGAAAGCAAUCCCCUG
This 735-nucleotide ribosomal RNA is filed under the name uncultured bacterium. Its description in RNAcentral is "bacterial SSU rRNA". It matches the Rfam family "Bacterial small subunit ribosomal RNA", at positions 1 to 731 of the family's 1533-position model. The record is from RNAcentral.